This 250-nucleotide unclassified non-coding RNA is filed under the name Hevea brasiliensis (rubber tree). The record is from RNAcentral. Lineage: Eukaryota; Viridiplantae; Streptophyta; Magnoliopsida; Malpighiales; Euphorbiaceae.
GUAAUCAAUCUCAUUUACUUUGACAUGAGAAGAACAAACCAAUCUUUGAUCUUCAACAUCAUUCCACAGUAGUAAUCUUUUCCCAAACAUGCCUUUAUAAUUUCAGAUACAAUCUUCAUAUUUAUUUUGUUUUUACAUUAGAUUUUCUUUUAAACUAAUUAGAAAUCUAAAUUCAAUAAAAAAUACAGUAGCCUUGCUGAGUGAAACAUAAAUUUUAGGUUGCUUACCUUUUUGUCUAACUUCUCUGAGA